RNA transcript from Silurus meridionalis, 1395 nucleotides. It is a transcript of the gene named tripartite motif-containing protein 16-like, with no coding region annotated. The record is from RefSeq and is a predicted model, not a curated record. The transcript has 6 exons. NCBI's taxonomy places the organism in Eukaryota, Metazoa, Chordata, Actinopteri, Siluriformes, Siluridae.
CUCAGUUAAAGCCUACAGAACUGAACAACAGACUGAGCUGAAGGAGGAGCAGAUGAAAUUCCAGCAGAGAAUCCAGGAGAAGCAGAAGAAGGUGCAGGAGCUGAAACAGGCUGUGAACAUUAUAAAGCUCAGUGCACAGACAGCAGUAGAUGACAGUGAGAAGAUCUUUACUGAGAUGAUCAGCUCCAUGGAGAAAAAGCGCUCGGAGGUGACGGAGCUGAUCAGAGAUCAGGAGAAGGCUGAACUGAGUCGAGCUGAACGACUCCUGGAGCAACUGGAGCAGGAGAUUUCUGAUCUUCAGAGAAGAAUCACUGAGCUGGAGCAGCUUUCACACACACACACACGAUCACAUCUAUUUCCUCCAGGAAAUAAAGGUACAUUACAUCCACAUUUCCAGGAGGAAUAUGAAGGUUACAGGUUUUAGCCUCCAGACAUCAGAGUCCCAAAACCGACAGACCAAAUGUUCCAGCUGAUGUGUGUGAAGAUUCACUCAGCAUCAAUGUCAAUAUCUCAUUUGAUGCAGUGAGGAAAUCUCUCUCUGACCUGAAAAAGAGACUUGAGGAAUUCUGCCAGGAGGAAUUGAUCAAAAUCCAUGAACAUGCUGAGAACAUUCAGAUUUUACUCUCAGAACCAGCAAGCAGGAACGAGUUUCUGAAAUAUUUCUGUGAUCUGACUCUGGAUCCCAACACAGUACAUUAUUACCUCAUUCUGUCUGAGAAGAACAAAGUGGUGACAUUCAGUGAGACAAAGCAGCCGUACUCUGAUCAUCCAGAGAGAUUUAACUCUGACUCUGCUGUCAGGUGUUGAGUAAAGAGAGUGUGUGUGGACGCUGUUACUGGGAGGUGGAGUGGAGCAGUGAUGGUUAUGUGUUCAUAUCAGUCUCAUAUAAAGAUAUCAGAAGGAAAGGACUGGGUAGUGAGUGUUGGUUUGGACACAACAAUCAGUCCUGGAGUCUGGAAUGUUCUUCUUCUUCUGUUAAUUUCUGGCACAACAACGUUAAAACUGAUCUCAAAGUUCCAUCAUCCUCCAGAAUAGGAGUGUAUGUGGAUCACAGUGCAGGAACUCUGUCCUUCUACAGCGUCUCUGAUACGAUGAAGCUCCUCCACAGACUCCACACCACAUUCACUCAGCCUCUAUACGCUGGAUUCUGGUUGUGUAAAACAGGAUCAUCUAUGAGGUUUUGCAGUCCAAAAGAAUAAUAGUUGGUGUUUUAUGGUCUGUAAUUUGGAGCUAAAAGAAACAUGUGCUAGGAAAUAAAUCAAAAAGUGAUUUGUUUGUAUCAUUGUAAAAAUCAGAUUUAAAAAUGAUAAUUAUGCUUUGGUAAAAUAUAUAAAUCUAUUUUACACCUUAAAAUGUCUAUGUACGUGGUGGUGUUUAAAAAAGGAUCGAGACGAA